RNAcentral lists this long non-coding RNA (1775 nucleotides) under Brassica napus (rape). RNAcentral describes it as "long non-coding RNA (BNAP_LNC010381)". Lineage: Eukaryota; Viridiplantae; Streptophyta; Magnoliopsida; Brassicales; Brassicaceae. The record is from RNAcentral.
GAAUAUAUAUUUUUCUGUCUCCUUGAUCAACCAAUGAGUGGUCGGAUUACUUUAUCAUUAUUGAUACAUAAUGAUUAAGAAAAAGUCUAUGUGGUUUGAUUUCUUUGAGUGAACGAGAGAUCAUAUCUAAUCAAAUAUGUGCUUGUAUUUGAUCCAUAAAACAACAAUGCAAACAUCUUUGGUCUUCAUUCCUUCAGCUCGUGAGCUACUUUCGAUGGAAAGCUGGAAGGUGGAGGGGGAAUAUGCUUGUAGUCGUGGUUCUCGAGCGUGCGGACUCUCGUUUACGGAGGUUGAGCGGAUGAUAAUCAUUGAAAAGGUCUGUCUCACUUUUGUUGUUUUGCAGGUUGAAGAAAUCCUUAUUAUCAUGAAAUGAUAAUAGUAUAUUUCUGUUUAUCGUUGUCUUCAUCCUUCAGUGAGAAGUCUUGUUGAGCUGCUUUGCCGGAAGAAGGGUUCUGGCCUGGUCAAAUACGCGACCGUAACGAGAAGAAAAUAACGAGCAUAUUAGUGGUCUCUAAGAGCUCGUACUCUUCGUCUUUGGAAAGUGAAGGGCUCCGGUUUCUCGAUGCUCCCUCGUAUCGGGAUCUUGAGAAUUGGAUGUACUUAGUCUUUGUACACAGUCUAGGCGUGCUCGAGAUUAAUUCGAUCUCUUCGAGAUUCUUCCUCACUUCGGGUCAUUUAUUGAUCGAGGAAGUCGUUGCUCGGCGCGCGGCGAAGUUUUUUUCUUCGUCUUGUUCAAAGCUGUCCAAGACUUUAAUUGCAAAUUUUUGGAGCUUACGGUCUGUUCAGGAUGACAUCCUGCAUUCUUCAGGCUUACACCAUAUAGAUUGAUAUUCGUUUGACAGAUUGAUGUCGAGCUCACUGAACUCGGGAGGUCGGGCGAUCAGCAUUCAUCCUCGGUCUACUAUGGUUCGAGGGCGUUAUCGGUGAAACUCGGCGAGGUGAAUUUCUUUUAUCAGUAACGGAGAUUUGAUUUGGUUGAGGUCGGAAUAGAAUCUCGUGUUUCAUUUCUUGUUUAUGAUCUAGUAAGAUCAUUGCUACCGCGCGUGGUGUGAUGGCUCGUUUGGUGCAGUAUCGGACACCAUAUGAGAUGGAUCCAUUUUCGUGCUUACAAACCUUAGAUCGGGUUCCUAGCAAGGACGUUUUUUGUUUAUCUUCCCCACAGUCGGCGCUGUAUUCAUGUUAUUAUCAUCGUGUAGAGAAAAAGUCUUAUCCUCAUUCAUUUGCAUGAAUAGGUUUCUCGUCGUCUAAAAUACAUUCGGUUUGGUAAAUAUAUCUUCGUAUUCACUUUAUGAGAUAAACAUAAGGAAUAUAUAUUUUUCUGUCUCCUUGAUCAACCAAUGAGUGGUCGGAUUACUUUAUCAUUAUUGAUACAUAAUGAUUAAGAAAAAGUCUAUGUGGUUUGAUUUCUUUGAGUGAACGAGAGAUCAUAUCUAAUCAAAUAUGUGCUUGUAUUUGAUCCAUAAAACAACAAUGCAAACAUCUUUGGUCUUCAUUCCUUCAGCUCGUGAGCUACUUUCGAUGGAAAGCUGGAAGGUGGAGGGGGAAUAUGCUUGUAGUCGUGGUUCUCGAGCGUGCGGACUCUCGUUUACGGAGGUUGAGCGGAUGAUAAUCAUUGAAAAGGUCUGUCUCACUUUUGUUGUUUUGCAGGUUGAAGAAAUCCUUAUUAUCAUGAAAUGAUAAUAGUAUAUUUCUGUUUAUCGUUGUCUUCAUCCUUCAGUGAGAAGUCUUGUUGAGCUGCUUUGCCGGAAGAAGGGUUCUGGCCUGGUCAAAUACGC